CGUGAAUGGACUAACGUGUCCCAUCAGGGCCAAGGACCUUAAAUAUGUGCUGCCAUAUAUUGCAGGGGCCAGAAGCCUGAGAACUACAUUUCCCAGAGUCCCCUGCGGCAGGGUUCCAGGUUACAGUCUGUCAAUCACAGGGGUUCUAGAAGCGCCUAAGAGCCCGGAUUCAAUCCUUCUCUGCUUGAAAUCCUGUUUUCCUGGCUGCACCGUGCCUGAGACAGGACCUGGUAAGGAAGGCACUGGAAGAAGUUGGGGAUGCUGGCAAGCACCUCGUGGUGGCAAGAAGGGGUCGGGCGGACUUUGGAGGAGGUAGCAGGGACGUGCUGAAGCAGCUGACACUCAGCUCAGGUUCAGGAAGCCGCGGAGGAAGGCAUGUUCUCCGGGAGGUCUCCGUGUCCUCCGUCCACACCAAUGCUGAGUGCCAGCCUCAGUGUUCUCGGGGGGCCUCCUACACAGCCGAGAUCUGGGGCUUACGGAGAGCUGAUCCAAUGCCAGGCACAUUAAACCGGUCAUCUCGUCUAAUCCUCACCAAAGCUCCACGGGCACCCAUUUCACAGAUGAGGAAACCGAGGCUCAGAAAGACGAAGGCUGCAGCCAGCAAGUGGCUGAGCCCAGGCUCAACCCCGGUGGAAGCGGUCAGCCUGGAGGAAAGAUGCUGUCUUUGAUCCUUGAGCCAGCUCUGCCCCUGUCCGGUGCACACCCUGACCAUCGCUGGGCCUCAGUUUCCCCCUCUGUAUUUCCGGGCUGUACAGAGGACAGCAAUGAGGAGCCCAGCCUGCCGGCCUUCAGCGUUCCCCAAGACCCAAGAGGGACUCCCGGAGACUUCCCCCCCUCUCCAAGGCACGGGCUGACUCACAUCGCUGUCUGGGGAGGAAGCACAGCCCGGCUGGCGAGGGUCUCGCCACCCAGCAACCUGCCACGGCUCCGGGGGACGGGGGAGUUGAACAUUAACCCCUUGG
Molecule: long non-coding RNA, 962 nt
Filed under: Equus caballus (horse)
Lineage: Eukaryota; Metazoa; Chordata; Mammalia; Perissodactyla; Equidae
Description: lncRNA (ENSECAG00000044962.1)
Source: RNAcentral